GGACUACAGGGGUAUCUAAUCCUGUUUGCUACCCACGCUUUCGCGCAUCAGCGUCAGUACCGGUCCAGGUAGCCGCCUUCGCCACUGGUGUUCCUCCCAGUAUCUACGCAUUUCACCGCUACACUGGGAAUUCCACUACCCUCUCCCGGACUCAAGCCCAACAGUUUCAAAGGCAGUUCCUCAGUUGAGCCGAGGGAUUUCACCUUUGACUUAUAGAGCCGCCUACGCGCCCUUUACGCCCAAUAAUUCCGAAUAACGCUCGCCCCCUCCGUAUUACCGCGGCGGCUGGCAC
RNAcentral lists this ribosomal RNA (292 nucleotides) under uncultured Acidobacteriota bacterium. Its description in RNAcentral is "uncultured Acidobacteria bacterium partial 16S ribosomal RNA". Lineage: Bacteria; Pseudomonadati; Acidobacteriota. The record is from RNAcentral.